This 459-nucleotide ribosomal RNA is filed under the name uncultured bacterium. RNAcentral's name for it is "partial 16S ribosomal RNA". It matches the Rfam family "Bacterial small subunit ribosomal RNA", at positions 338 to 795 of the family's 1533-position model. The record is from RNAcentral.
CCUACGGGCGGCAGCAGUGAGGAAUAUUGGUCAAUGGGCGGGAGCCUGAACCAGCCAAGCCGCGUGAGGGAAGAAGGUACAGCGUAUCGUAAACCUCUUUUGUCAGGGAACAAAGGCGGGUACUUGUCCCCUGCUGAGCGUACCUGACGAAAAAGCAUCGGCUAACUCCGUGCCAGCAGCCGCGGUAAUACGGAGGAUGCGAGCGUUAUCCGGAUUUAUUGGGUUUAAGGGGUGCGCAGGCGGCCUGUUAAGUCAGCGGUAAAAGCCCGGGGCUCAACCCCGGCGAGCCGUUGAAACUGGGGGGCUGGAGUUGGAGAGAGGUACGCGGAAUGCGCGGUGUAGCGGUGAAAUGCUUAGAUAUCGCGCAGAACCCCGAUUGCGAAGGCAGCGUACCGGAUCAAAACUGACGCUGAGGCACGAAAGCGUGGGUAUCGAACAGGAUUAGAUACCCCGGUAGUC